This 80-nucleotide transfer RNA is filed under the name Candidatus Dadabacteria bacterium. RNAcentral describes it as "tRNA-Met". It matches the Rfam family "tRNA". From Rfam's summary of the family: Transfer RNA (tRNA) molecules are approximately 80 nucleotides in length. RNAcentral also lists the same sequence under 1 other name. The record is from RNAcentral. Lineage: Bacteria; Pseudomonadati; Thermodesulfobacteriota; Candidatus Dadabacteria.
AACGAGGUAUCCAGCGGCAAUCUUAUGUUUUUGGGCUCAUAACCCGAAGGUUGCAGGUUCAAGUCCUGCCCCCGCUACCA